Long non-coding RNA from Lactuca sativa (garden lettuce), 1495 nucleotides. RefSeq lists it as uncharacterized. Lineage: Eukaryota; Viridiplantae; Streptophyta; Magnoliopsida; Asterales; Asteraceae. The record is from RefSeq and is a predicted model, not a curated record.
GGUCCAGCAGAGAUUUAUCAUUAAGAUUCAGUAGUGUGAGGUGAGUCUCCUCAUUAGGCUUAGUGGGUCAAAGACACCAAUGUUGACCCAUGGCUAAUUAUGUUAGGGUGCUAGAUGUCUUCCUAACCGAACCCUUUAAUUUUUAAUAAAUCAACCCGGUUUAUUUUGCCUACUCACAAAAUAACCUAAAAACAAUUAAGUGAUUAACGGAGUUAUAGCCCACAUAUGUUUUUGCAAAAAAGCCCAAUAAAACCCUACGACGUUCAUCACCCUUGUUCAACCCUAUAUAUUUCAAGCCCUUGCAUCUUCAUCUCUACAAAUACAAUCGCUCUACGUUUGUCUAUCUCUGCCAGCUGUUUAUCAGGUUUUAUCUACUUUUACGAAUUAAUUAUGAAAAGUUUCGAAUUUGUCUGAUUUUUGUGCGUUGAUGAAGCAAUUUGUGGACUAGAGUUUCUGAUCAUGGGCUCUUCUUCCCAUUAUGUUUGACGACAAACCCUUGGCUGUCUGAGUGCAAAUCAUUCUAUUUGAUCUAAAUCGUUGUCGAUAUCUUUACCUAUUUACCACUGAAUCCAGCUUAUCGCAAUUGUUUUUUUAUCUAGAUCUGGAUUAUUUUUUGACAACGAUUUGAGGGUUAUGAUGAUAUACUUUUAAUAUCUUAGCGGAUUUCCGUGAGAUUAAAAUAUAUUUUGAUCUAUGAUCUUAUUGUUACACACACUGAAUCCUCAACAUCUGUCAACUCUGUUCUAGAUUUUUGGAAUUUCUGCUGUCAAUAUAACUGCAUCUUUCGAUGAGCUUCUAUCUUUCACAAUACAAGUCUUUCUGCGUGAAGUUAUUAGAUGAUAUGCAUCCAUUUACCAAUUCUGGGGGAUAAAACAGUUCCUCUCGGUGUAAUGGCUCGGAUGCAAAAUUAAAAUUUGUGGCUAUCCUGAUAAAUGUGUUGUUCAAUGUCAUUUCAUCGUGAAACACCUCAUACAUAACGUGUUUGAAAUGCCUUUUUCAAAAACUGAUUUUCUUUAGAAGCUGUUGUUUUUCACACAAUGAGCAGCUGUUUUACAGGUUCUUGUUCUAAUUGUCCAACUUAUUUAGUUUGUAGUACGAUAUGUGCGAUGAUGAAGCAAUUUGUGGACUAGAGUUUCUGAUCGUGGGCUCUUCUUCCCAUUAAGUUUGACGACAAACCCUUGGCUGUCUGAGUACAAAUCACUGUUGCAAUUUAGCAAAGCUGCAAUUGUAUCAAGAACUACUCCUGCUGACGCUUGUGUAGCGAAAUAGUAGGUAUCGUGUAUACAAUCUCCAAUGUAGCACUUAUGUAAUGAUUUAUGGCAACCUGUUUAUGCCAAACUGUUGGAAUUGAUCGAAGUUAGAAACAUUUAGGCCAUGUUUUUUAAACUUUUUCCUUGUCAUUUAUGUAUCUAUAAAGUGUGUAUUUACAAAAUGUAUUGAAUUUAUAACUUUAUUUGAUAAAGUAUUGUUGAUAUAAAUGUUGUUUUUUACUGUA